This 221-nucleotide unclassified non-coding RNA is filed under the name Hevea brasiliensis (rubber tree). The record is from RNAcentral. Lineage: Eukaryota; Viridiplantae; Streptophyta; Magnoliopsida; Malpighiales; Euphorbiaceae.
CUAUUGUCCUAAAUAUGUAAAUAAUUUCACACAACCCAAUAAGAGAUUCUCUUCAUCUUCUCUUUCUAUAUUAAAAUUAAUCAACUCAAAACCCAAAUUUCCCUCACUUUUCAUCCUUCAGGGGAAAAUCGAUCCAUUCCUCCAAUGAGAUCACAGAAAAGGCCGAUCCACGCCGUCACGACAUGGGUGCGACGACAGCCGCCCAAGGUCAAGGCUUUUUU